Molecule: ribosomal RNA, 1439 nt
Filed under: uncultured bacterium
Lineage: Bacteria
Description: bacterial SSU rRNA
Rfam family: Bacterial small subunit ribosomal RNA
Source: RNAcentral
CUUAGAGUUUGAUCCUGGCUCAGAACGUACGCUGGCGGCACGCCUAACACAUGCAAGUCGAACGAAGUAGCAAUACUUAGUGGCAGACGGGUGAGUAACAUGUAGGUAUCUGCCCUUUGGCCUGGAAUAACACGAGGAAACUUGUGCUAAUACCGGAUAAGUCUUUACGGAGAAAGCUUUAUGCACCAUUGGAUGAGCCUGCACUUGAUUAGUUUGUUGGUGGGGUAAUGGCCUACCAAGACUGUGAUCAAUAGCUGAUUUGAGAGGAUGAUCAGCCACAUUGGGACUGAGACACGGCCCAAACUCCUACGGGAGGCAGCAGUGGGGAAUCUUGCACAAUGGAGGAAACUCUGAUGCAGCGAUGCCGCGUGAGUGAAGAAGGCCUUUGGGUUGUAAAGCUCUUUCGUCGGGGAAGAAAAUGACUGUACCCGAAUAAGAAGGUCCGGCUAACUUCGUGCCAGCAGCCGCGGUAAUACGAAGGGACCUAGCGUAGUUCGGAAUUACUGGGCUUAAAGAGUUCGUAGGUGGUUGAAAAAGUUAGUGGUGAAAUCCCAGAGCUUAACUCUGGAACUGCCAUUAAAACUUUUCAGCUAGAGUAUGAUAGAGGAAAGCAGAAUUUCUAGUGUAGAGGUGAAAUUCGUAGAUAUUAGAAAGAAUACCAAUUGCGAAGGCAGCUUUCUGGAUCAUUACUGACACUGAGGAACGAAAGCAUGGGUAGCGAAGAGGAUUAGAUACCCUCGUAGUCCAUGCCGUAAACGAUGUGUGUUAGACGUUGGAAAUUUAUUUUCAGUGUCGCAGGGAAACCGAUAAACACACCGCCUGGGGAGUACGACCGCAAGGUUAAAACUCAAAUGAAUUGACGGGGACCCGCACAAGUAGUGGAGCAUGUGGUUUAAUUCGAAGAUACGCGCAGAACCUUACCAACACUUGACAUGUUCGUCGCGACUCUAAGAGAUUAGAGUUUUCGGUUCGGCCGGACGAAACACAGGUGCUGCAUGGCUGUCGUCAGCUCGUGUCGUGAGAUGUUGGGUUAAGUCCCGCAACGAGCGCAACCCUCACUUUUAGUUGCCAUCAUUAAGUUGGGCACUCUGAAAGAACUGCCAGUGAUAAGCUGGAGGAAGGUGGGGAUGACGUCAAGUCCUCAUGGCCCUUACGUGUUGGGCUACACACGUGCUACAAUGGUAUCUACAACAGGAAGCAAGACUGCGAAGUUAAGCAAAUCCCUAAAAGAUACCUCAGUUCGGAUUGCACUCUGCAACUCGAGUGCAUGAAGCUGGAAUUACUAGUAAUCGUGGAUCAGCGUGCCACGGUGAAUGCGUUCCCGGGUCUUGUACACACCGCCCGUCACACCAUGGGAGUUGGUUCUACCUUAAGGCAAGGUUUCAAACCCUUGACCACGGUAUAGUCAGCGACUGGGGUGAAGUCGUAACAAGGUAACC